RNAcentral lists this long non-coding RNA (1414 nucleotides) under Numida meleagris (helmeted guineafowl). RNAcentral describes it as "lncRNA (ENSNMEG00000003740.1)". Lineage: Eukaryota; Metazoa; Chordata; Aves; Galliformes; Numididae. The record is from RNAcentral.
UUUUUUCAUCUAUGUUCAUCAGUCUCAUUUGUUUUCUUCUACUUACUAAGUAAUUCCUCAACUGAUACUUGAUUGUAUUCCAGAGUUGCUUUCCAUCAGUAGAAGCUUUCAGGGUCCUAGAAUCUCUAAAACUCUUUUACAGAGCCCCAAAAGGUUGAAUAAUUACUGUGCUAAUUAUUCUUGCCAGUACUGAGAAAAAAGUUUGUGCAGUACUUUCUACAAAUAAUACCUUACAUAAUGUUAAAUUGUAGAGCAGCGGAGGUCUGAAUCUACACCUGGAGCCAGCAGAGAUCUUUAUGUGGUGGCAGAGGUUCACUUCUAGUGUUCUGAAGUAUUUUCUUUUAAUCUAAAAUAUUCUAUUGUAGAGUAAAAAACUCUAUAAUUAAAUAUUUAAACAUUAUCUGUAUUUGGACAAUACACCAUCUAUCCGUUUUAUUCCAAAAUGUCAGGAAUCUGUUUGCUCUAGCAUGUUGGUUAGAAUUGCUCUUCAGUAGUGUAGUUAAAUGAAAUAGUGUAUUUCAUCCCUGAAGUUAGAAUUAUACAGCUUUUUCCCUUCAUCUGACAAGUUGGUAGAAUGCUCAGAAGCUAUGUGUGUGUUUUGCAGCCUCAUUUCUGAGAGAGGAUUAUUUCAAGAGAUUUUGUUGUUUUGCUUGCUUUAGUGACAAGUAGCAGUAGCUUGUUAUGACCUCCCUUUGACUCCCCAUCACCUGCUUUUAGGCUCAUUUUUAGUAAGAUUAUCUUCAGCUGCUACUGCACGUGCUUAAUAGAUAGAAUUUAUUAUGUUUGAUACGAUAGUUUAUAGUGUAUAAUAAUGAUUCAGAAACCUUAAAACUUCUUUGCUGUUUUUCUGGUUUUAAUUUAAAUCAUCUAAUUCAGCCAUCUUACACCUUUUAGCUCUUUUGUUUUUAAUCAGAUUAAAAUAUGCAACAUCACAUCUGAGAAACCAAAUACAAUUGUUAUCCAAGCAGAGGAAAAUGAAUGAGAAUUUGAAUUGUUACAUUUGGAAAAGGGAAAAGACCAAGAAAGUCAGUCUGAGGUCAGACAAACCAGGUCAGCAGUGCAGGCUAGUCCACAAGGCACCUAGCUGGUUAAAGAAGCAGAAAAUGGAACUGGAGACAAGGGAGUCAGAUUGCAAACCAGAAUUAUGUUCAGAAGAAGAUCUAGGUCACUGUAAAGAGAGCAAAGUGUGAGAGCCAGAGGAGGCAAGCUACAAAGCCAAGUGACAAUGUGUUGAUACAUAUGGAAAUACUGUAAGAAAUAAGCCUGAUGUUAACAUUGAAUGAAUGCUGCCAAGAUAGCCCUUACUACAGUAGGCCAGUUAACCUGAAAACAUCCUGGACAAAAUAACAAAACAGGUGCGUGAUUCACUUUCUUAUGAACUAACAAUUAGGAAUAAAGUUACUUCCAAUCAACA